Molecule: small nuclear RNA, 105 nt
Filed under: Zalophus californianus (California sea lion)
Lineage: Eukaryota; Metazoa; Chordata; Mammalia; Carnivora; Otariidae
Source: RNAcentral
GUGCUCAUUUCAGCAGCACACAUGCUAAAAUUGGAACAAUACAGAGUUUUAGCACAGCCCCUGUGCAAAGAUGACAUGCAAAUUCUUGAAGCAGUCCAUAUUUAA